Molecule: ribosomal RNA, 872 nt
Filed under: Staphylococcus sp. CBMAI 1311
Lineage: Bacteria; Bacillati; Bacillota; Bacilli; Caryophanales; Staphylococcaceae
Description: bacterial SSU rRNA
Rfam family: Bacterial small subunit ribosomal RNA
Source: RNAcentral
GGAUAACCUACCUAUAAGACUGGGAUAACUUCGGGAAACCGGAGCUAAUACCGGAUAACAUGUUGAACCGCAUGGUUCAACAGUGAAAGACGGUCUUGCUGUCACUUAUAGAUGGAUCCGCGCCGCAUUAGCUAGUUGGUAAGGUAACGGCUUACCAAGGCAACGAUGCGUAGCCGACCUGAGAGGGUGAUCGGCCACACUGGAACUGAGACACGGUCCAGACUCCUACGGGAGGCAGCAGUAGGGAAUCUUCCGCAAUGGGCGAAAGCCUGACGGAGCAACGCCGCGUGAGUGAAGAAGGUCUUCGGAUCGUAAAACUCUGUUAUUAGGGAAGAACAAAUGUGUAAGUAACUAUGCACGUCUUGACGGUACCUAAUCAGAAAGCCACGGCUAACUACGUGCCAGCAGCCGCGGUAAUACGUAGGUGGCAAGCGUUAUCCGGAAUUAUUGGGCGUAAAGCGCGCGUAGGCGGUUUUUUAAGUCUGAUGUGAAAGCCCACGGCUCAACCGUGGAGGGUCAUUGGAAACUGGAAAACUUGAGUGCAGAAGAGGAAAGUGGAAUUCCAUGUGUAGCGGUGAAAUGCGCAGAGAUAUGGAGGAACACCAGUGGCGAAGGCGACUUUCUGGUCUGUAACUGACGCUGAUGUGCGAAAGCGUGGGGAUCAAACAGGAUUAGAUACCCUGGUAGUCCACGCCGUAAACGAUGAGUGCUAAGUGUUAGGGGGUUUCCGCCCCUUAGUGCUGCAGCUAACGCAUUAAGCACUCCGCCUGGGGAGACGACCGCAAGGUUGAAACUCAAAGGAAUUGACGGGGACCCGCACAAGCGGUGGAGCAUGUGGUUAAUUCGAAGCAACGCGAAGAACCUUACCAAAU